CCUACGGGUGGCUGCAGUGGGGAAUAUUGGACAAUGGGCGAAAGCCUGAUCCAGCCAUGCCGCGUGUGUGAAGAAGGCCUUCGGGUUGUAAAGCACUUUCAGUGGGGAAGAAAGUCUUGGGGCUAAUACCCUCGAGGAAGGACAUCACCCACAGAAGAAGCACCGGCUAACUCCGUGCCAGCAGCCGCGGUAAUACGGAGGGUGCGAGCGUUAAUCGGAAUUACUGGGCGUAAAGCGCGCGUAGGCGGUCUGAUAAGCCGGUUGUGAAAGCCCCGGGCUCAACCUGGGAACGGCAUCCGGAACUGUCAGGCUAGAGUGCAGGAGAGGAAGGUAGAAUUCCCGGUGUAGCGGUGAAAUGCGUAGAGAUCGGGAGGAAUACCAGUGGCGAAGGCGGUCUUCUGGACUGACACUGACGCUGAGGUGCGAAAGCGUGGGUAGCAAACAGGAUUAGAUACCCUAGUAGUC
Molecule: ribosomal RNA, 465 nt
Filed under: Vreelandella stevensii
Lineage: Bacteria; Pseudomonadati; Pseudomonadota; Gammaproteobacteria; Oceanospirillales; Halomonadaceae
Description: partial 16S ribosomal RNA
Rfam family: Bacterial small subunit ribosomal RNA
Source: RNAcentral